Molecule: ribosomal RNA, 484 nt
Filed under: uncultured bacterium
Lineage: Bacteria
Description: bacterial SSU rRNA
Rfam family: Bacterial small subunit ribosomal RNA
Source: RNAcentral
GAUGAACGCUAGCUACAGGCUUAACACAUGCAAGUCGAACGGCAGCGGGUCCUUCGGGAUGCCGGCGAGUGGCGAACGGGUGAGUAAUGCAUCGGAACGUACCCGGAAGUGGGGGAUAACGUAGCGAAAGUUACGCUAAUACCGCAUAUUUUGUGAGCAGGAAAGCAGGGGAUCGCAAGACCUUGCGCUUUUGGAGCGGCCGAUGUUGGAUUAGCUAGUUGGUGAGGUAAAGGCUCACCAAGGCGACGAUCCGUAGCGGGUUUGAGAGGAUGAUUCGCCCCACUGGGACUGAGACCCGGCCCCGACUCCUACGGGAGGCAGCAGUGGGGAAUUUUGGACAAUGGGCGAAAGCCUGAUCCAGCCAUGCCGCGUGAGUGAAGAAGGCCUUCGGGUUGUAAAGCUCUUUUGGCGGGGAAGAAAUGGCACUUUUUAAUACAGAGUGUUGAUGACGGUACCCGCAUAAGAAGCACCGGCUAACUACGUG